GACGAACGCUGGCGGCGUGCUUAACGCAUGCAAGUCAAACGGAAAGGCCCCUUUGGGGGUACUCGAGUGGCGAACGGGUGAGUAACACGUGAGUAACCUGCCCUUGACUUCGGGAUAACUUCAGGAAACUGGGGCUAAUACCGGAUAGGAAUCCUUGCUGCAUGGUGGGGGUUGGAAAGCUUCGGCGGUUUUGGAUGGGCUCGCGGCUUAUCAGCUUGUUGGUGGGGUAGUGGCUUACCAAGGCUUUGACGGGUAGCCGGCCUGAGAGGGCGACCGGCCACAUUGGGACUGAGAUACGGCCCAGACUCCUACGGGAGGCAGCAGUGGGGAAUAUUGCACAAUGGGCGGAAGCCUGAUGCAGCAACGCCGCGUGCGGGAUGACGGCCUUCGGGUUGUAAACCGCUUUCAGCAGGGGCGAAGCUUGUGGUGACGGUACCUGCAGAAGAAGCACCGGCUAACUACGUG
Molecule: ribosomal RNA, 465 nt
Filed under: uncultured bacterium
Lineage: Bacteria
Description: partial 16S ribosomal RNA
Rfam family: Bacterial small subunit ribosomal RNA
Source: RNAcentral